This 380-nucleotide ribosomal RNA is filed under the name uncultured eukaryote. RNAcentral describes it as "partial 18S ribosomal RNA". It matches the Rfam family "Eukaryotic small subunit ribosomal RNA", at positions 592 to 976 of the family's 1831-position model. The record is from RNAcentral.
CAAUAGCGUAUAUUAAAGUUGUUGCAGUUAAAAAGCUCGUAGUUGGAUCUGUGGUGUGCGGUGGGCUCCGGGCACUUGUUGUCUGAGUAGCUCGCCGCUGCCAUCCUUGGGUGGAACCUGUGUGGCAUUAGGUUGUCGUGCAGGGGAUGCCCAUCGUUUACUGUGAAAAAAUUAGAGUGUUCAAAGCAGGCUUAUGCCGUUGAAUAUAUCAGCAUGGAAUAAUGAGAUAGGACUUUUUCGCUAUUUUGUUGGUUUGCGCGAAGAGGUAAUGAUUAAUAGGGACAGUUGGGGGUAUUCGUAUUCCAUUGUCAGAGGUGAAAUUCUUGGAUUUUUGGAAGACGAACUACUGCGAAAGCAUUUACCAAGGAUGUUUUCAUUAA